This is a long non-coding RNA of Medicago truncatula (barrel medic), 404 nucleotides long. RefSeq lists it as uncharacterized. The record is from RefSeq and is a predicted model, not a curated record. The transcript has 2 exons. Lineage: Eukaryota; Viridiplantae; Streptophyta; Magnoliopsida; Fabales; Fabaceae.
UUCAUUUACAUAACAAAAGUUAGAGAUACUAGAGAGAGAAAGUGAGAAGAUAAAGAGAAGGAAGAGGAAAUACUUGGAGAAGAGGAAAGCUAGAGCUAAGGAGUUAGAGAGGAGAGUGAAGUCAUAACUAGUGAAUUUGAAGCUUUGAGGUGAUUUGCGGGAUUGAGUUGAUUGCUUUUCUUUGAUGCUUGAGGACUAACUUGGAUGCUUCCUCGUUUUAUUUUUUUUCGUUUAGAGUCUAGAUAAGCUCUGAUGUAGGAGUGCCGGUCUUAUGACCUUGUCUUUUGAUACAUUUUGAUGAGUUAUGUUAACUAUAUUACGAGGAUAAUUGUAUCAUGGUGAUGAAUUUUAUGUGGAAGGACAUAUGGCAUGUUGAGAUUUAUUACCAUUGAUUUUGAGGAUUA